GAUGAACGCUAGCGGCAGGCUUAAUACAUGCAAGUCGUGGGGCAGCAGGUUUGUAGCAAUACAGAUGCUGGCGACCGGCAAACGGGUGCGGAACACGUACAGAACCUUCCUUUGAGCGGGGAAUAGCCCAGAGAAAUUUGGAUUAAUACCCCAUAGUAUAAUGAAGUGGCAUCACUUUAUUAUUAAAGAUUUAUCACUCGAAGAUGGCUGUGCGGCUGAUUAGGUAGUUGGCGGGGUAAAGGCCCACCAAGCCUGCGAUCAGUAACUGGUGUGAGAGCACGACCAGUCACACGGGCACUGAGACACGGGCCCGACUCCUACGGGAGGCAGCAGUAAGGAAUAUUGGUCAAUGGAGGCAACUCUGAACCAGCCAUGCCGCGUGGAGGAUGAAGGUCCUCUGGAUUGUAAACUUCUUUUAUAUGGGACGAAAAAAGGCUUUUCUAAGUCGUCUGACGGUACCAUAUGAAUAAGCACCGGCUAACUCCGUGCCAGCAG
This 495-nucleotide ribosomal RNA is filed under the name uncultured bacterium. RNAcentral's name for it is "bacterial SSU rRNA". It matches the Rfam family "Bacterial small subunit ribosomal RNA", at positions 28 to 514 of the family's 1533-position model. The record is from RNAcentral.